UGGAUGACAUUUCGGCAUUUGUCGCAGCUGAUCGUCGGGGUCUGGUUGACGUCGAGGAAAACUUCGCUCUAAAAGGAAAGACAAACAUGCCGGUAACUUCGACAAAUCAUGGUGGAACACAUAUGUUAAUUAAUGAAGGAAAAACGAAUAUUGAGAAGUGAAUACAGGCUGCCGAUAUAGCGCAGGCAAUGGCAUACGCAUCCUCCACGAAGCAGCCGCUGCAAAUGAUGCAGCUCAUCUACGCUCCGUUUAGAUCCGAAAAUCCCCCUACUUGGUCCAGGCAACAGGGAAAGUCAGCUGGCCGCUGUUUGCGAAAAAGUACCAAACGCCCUCCCAGUGAUCAGAGCCCAUUCAACGAUCUGAAGCGAAUCAGCUAUGAAACUCAUUAACAAGCCACCUAGUCGAUCGGGCGAAAGCGCGUCAUUACAAUUUUGGCGCCAUAUUUAAGCAGGAUCCGGAUAAUAUCCUCCCUGGGAACAUGCCCACGAAAACUGUCCGUCGAAAGGAAGUA
This is a long non-coding RNA of Varroa destructor (honeybee mite), 511 nucleotides long. RefSeq lists it as uncharacterized. NCBI's taxonomy places the organism in Eukaryota, Metazoa, Arthropoda, Arachnida, Mesostigmata, Varroidae. The record is from RefSeq and is a predicted model, not a curated record.